Talpa occidentalis (Iberian mole) is the source of this 1210-nucleotide long non-coding RNA. RefSeq lists it as uncharacterized. The transcript is spliced from 5 exons. Lineage: Eukaryota; Metazoa; Chordata; Mammalia; Eulipotyphla; Talpidae. The record is from RefSeq and is a predicted model, not a curated record.
GGGUUGCGGACUACGUAGUCCUCAGGGGUUCUGCUCUGUUGGCCCCCUUCCUACUCUGGUGGGGUCAGAUGGCAGAGCCCAGGGCUGAUGGGCUGUAGGACGAGCCCAGGGGACUCAGGUGUUCUAUCACCACCCAGCUUGAAGCAGGGUCCUAUGCAGGGGGAAAAUGCCGCCCCAGCCUCCCUUCCCUUCUCCAAGCUUUCUCUGCUCCCACAGGGACUGAAGCAUGAAAGGCAAGGGCAGCUCAGUGAAGAAAGGAAUGCUUCCAAGUCCUGUUUAGUCCAGGAUUUCAAGACACCGAAAGAUGCAGAAGUGGAAGUUGGGGGGCACAGAAGUGGACCACAGUUGGACGAGUCAUCUUGUCAGUUUGGGGUCAGGGAUUCAUCUUCAAUGAAAAGAAUGAUAAUGCCUCAUAAACACUGCCUUUGGAUGCUGGCAUGAGGAUCCUGGCCCUGGCACAGCACUUUCACAGAAUGAGUCCACAUCCUCUCUUCUAGAACAUUCCAGGCCCACAGAUGUCUGAGACAGCCUGGGGGGAUGUCUUGGCCAGUGCAAUCCCUCACAGCUCUAUUGAAUUCUCAUACUGCUGUUGCUAUCGCCUAUCUGGAGCCAAGUUACCAAAUGAAUGAAAUACCUUGCUAGGCUUCAAAACAAAACCACAGGAACUUCCUAAAUAAGUAUGAUGGAAAACAAAGUGAUAUUAGUGCAUUGGUGAAGGGUGUGGUGUGAUUAACAAACAUUUGAAGAGCUGUGAAGCUAUACCCCAGAUCACAUAUAGUGUUGUAAACCAGAGUCACUUCAAUAAAAAAUAAUACAACUAAAAAAAGAAAGAGAAGAAAAAUAAAGUGAAAACCACAGUUCCUGUAAUGAAUUCAAAGACUGUUCCAAGUUGGAAAUAAUGUUCAACAAAGGAAUUUAAGACCAAGGGGGUGGUUAGGAGAGAAAUUCAACUGGCAAUGAGCAGAUAUCAAGACUCCAUCUCAAAAACAAAUGUGGCAACCCUCUGUGUGUUGCUCUAUUGAUUUAAAAUUCAGCAUGACUUCAUUUUUUCGGAUGCCACUGAUUUAAAAUGUUGGUAAAAUACAUGAUCAGACUAGACUGUCACGCUCCACUACUUAUAAGAAAAGACUUACAAAGAAAAUUCAGAAGACAAACAAGAGCACAAGGGGGACUGUUAGGUUUAAUGAAUAAAAUAAGCUCUUUAAAAGAC